This 696-nucleotide ribosomal RNA is filed under the name uncultured cyanobacterium. Its description in RNAcentral is "bacterial SSU rRNA". It matches the Rfam family "Bacterial small subunit ribosomal RNA", at positions 66 to 804 of the family's 1533-position model. The record is from RNAcentral. Lineage: Bacteria; Bacillati; Cyanobacteriota.
ACGGAACUUUUCGGAGUUCAGUGGCGGACGGGUGAGUAACGCGUGAGAAUCUGGCCUCAGGUUCGGGACAACCACUGGAAACGGUGGCUAAUACCGGAUGUGCCUUAGGGUGAAAGAUUAAUUGCCUGAGGAUGAGCUCGCGUCUGAUUAGCUAGUUGGUAGGGUAAGAGCCUACCAAGGCAUCGAUCAGUAACUGGUCUGAGAGGAUGACCAGUCACACUGGGACUGAGACACGGCCCAGACUCCUACGGGAGGCAGCAGUGGGGAAUUUUCCGCAAUGGGCGAAAGCCUGACGGAGCAAUACCGCGUGAGGGAGGAAGGCUCUUGGGUCGUAAACCUCUUUUCUCAGGGAAGAAGACAAUGACGGUACCUGAGGAAUCAGCAUCGGCUAACUCCGUGCCAGCAGCCGCGGUAAUACGGAGGAUGCAAGCGUUAUCCGGAAUUAUUGGGCGUAAAGCGUCCGCAGGUGGCAAUUCAAGUCUGCUGUCAAAGCCCGGGGCUUAACCCUGGAAAGGCAGUGGAAACUGAACAGCUAGAGUGCGGUGGGGGCAGAGGGAAUUCCCAGUGUAGCGGUGAAAUGCGUAGAGAUUGGGAAGAACACCGGUGGCGAAAGCGCUCUGCUAGGCCGCAACUGACACUCAUGGACGAAAGCUAGGGGAGCGAAUGGGAUUAGAUACCCCAGUAGUCCUAGCCGUA